ACCGGGUAUGGUGGCACAUGCCUGUAAUCCCAGGAACUCCAGAGGCUGAGACAGGAGAAUCAUGAAUUCAAAGCCAGCCCCAGCAAAGCAACUGAGUGAGAUCCUGUCUCUA
This 112-nucleotide small RNA is filed under the name Marmota monax (woodchuck). Lineage: Eukaryota; Metazoa; Chordata; Mammalia; Rodentia; Sciuridae. The record is from RNAcentral.